GAGACAAAUGUGACAAAAGAUGUGGUGUGUCUCAAUGAUGUUUCCUGCUACUUUUCCCUUCUGGAGGGUGGUCGGCCAGAAGACAAGUUAGAAUUCACCUUCAAGCUGUACGACACGGACAGAAAUGGGAUCCUGGACAGCUCAGAAGUGGACAAAAUUAUCCUACAGAUGAUGCGAGUGGCUGAAUACCUGGAUUGGGAUGUGUCUGAGCUGAGGCCGAUUCUUCAGGAGAUGAUGAAAGAGAUUGACUAUGAUGGCAGUGGCUCUGUCUCUCAAGCUGAGUGGGUCCGGGCUGGGGCCACCACCGUGCCACUGCUAGUGCUGCUGGGUCUGGAGAUGACUCUGAAGGACGAUGGACAGCACAUGUGGAGGCCCAAGAGGUUCCCCAGACCAGUCUACUGCAAUCUGUGCGAGUCAAGCAUUGGUCUUGGCAAACAGGGACUGAGCUGUAACCGUGAGUAAUGGGAGCUGGGAGGUAGGGGAAGAGGGUCAGCCCAGCUAUCUGUGGGAGCUUGACGCUGUAAACUUAGAAAGACCUA
This 539-nucleotide small RNA is filed under the name Pan troglodytes (chimpanzee). Its description in RNAcentral is "retained intron". The record is from RNAcentral. Lineage: Eukaryota; Metazoa; Chordata; Mammalia; Primates; Hominidae.